This 433-nucleotide ribosomal RNA is filed under the name uncultured bacterium. RNAcentral's name for it is "partial 16S ribosomal RNA". It matches the Rfam family "Bacterial small subunit ribosomal RNA", at positions 29 to 507 of the family's 1533-position model. The record is from RNAcentral.
AACGAACGCUGGCGGCAGGCCUAACACAUGCAAGUCGAGCGAGGACUUCGGUUCUAGCGGCGGACGGGUGAGUAACGCGUGGGAAUGUGCCCUUCUCUACGGAAUAGCCCUGGGAAACUGGGAGUAAUACCGUAUACGCCCUUUUGGGGAAAGAUUUAUCGGAGAAGGAUCAGCCCGCGUUGGAUUAGGUAGUUGGUGGGGUAAUGGCCUACCAAGCCGAUGAUCCAUAGCUGGUUUGAGAGGAUGAUCAGCCACACUGGGACUGAGACACGGCCCAGACUCCUACGGGAGGCAGCAGUGGGGAAUCUUAGACAAUGGGGGCAACCCUGAUCUAGCCAUGCCGCGUGAGUGAUGAAGGCCUUAGGGUUGUAAAGCUCUUUCAGCUGGGAAGAUAAUGACGGUACCAGCAGAAGAAGCCCCGGCUAACUCCGUG